Molecule: ribosomal RNA, 301 nt
Filed under: uncultured bacterium
Lineage: Bacteria
Description: partial 16S ribosomal RNA
Rfam family: Bacterial small subunit ribosomal RNA
Source: RNAcentral
CAGCCGCCGCGGUAAUACGAAGGGGGCUAGCGUUGUUCGGAUUUACUGGGCGUAAAGGGCGCGUAGGCGGACUGAUAAGUCAGGGGUGAAAUCCCAAGGCUCAACCUUGGAACUGCCUUUGAUACUGUUUGUCUUGAGUUCGAGAGAGGUAAGUGGAACUGCGAGUGUAGAGGUGAAAUUCGUAGAUAUUCGCAAGAGCACCAGUGGCGAAGGCGGCUUACUGGCUCGAAACUGACGCUGAGGCGCGAAAGCGUGGGGAGCAAACAGGAGUAGAGACCCCCGUAGUCCCUGUCUCUUAUAC